CCUACGGGUGGCAGCAGUGAGGAAUAUUGGUCAAUGGCCGAGAGGCUGAACCAGCCAAGUCGCGUGAGGGAAGAAUGUCCUAUGGAUUGUAAACCGCUUUUGUCAGGGAGCAAAGUCACCCACGUGUGGGUGUUUGAGAGUACCUGAAGAAAAAGCAUCGGCUAACUUCGUGCCAGCAGCCGCGGUAAUACGGAGGAUGCGAGCGUUAUCCGGAUUUAUUGGGUUUAAAGGGUGCGUAGGCGGGUUUACAAGUCAGCGGUAAAAUCGUGGAGCUCAACUCCAUCCAGCCGUUGAAACUGAUGAUCUUGGGUGGGCGAGAAGUAUGCGGAAUGCGUGGUGUGGCGGUGAAAUGCAUAGGUAUCACGAAGAACUCCGAUUGCGAAGGCAGCAUACCGGCGCCCUACUAACGCUGAAGCACGAAAGCGUGGGUAUCGAACAGGAUUGGUUACCCGGUAGUC
RNAcentral lists this ribosomal RNA (458 nucleotides) under uncultured bacterium. RNAcentral's name for it is "partial 16S ribosomal RNA". It matches the Rfam family "Bacterial small subunit ribosomal RNA", at positions 338 to 795 of the family's 1533-position model. The record is from RNAcentral.